Long non-coding RNA from Diabrotica virgifera virgifera (western corn rootworm), 742 nucleotides. RefSeq lists it as uncharacterized. The transcript has 2 exons. The record is from RefSeq and is a predicted model, not a curated record. Lineage: Eukaryota; Metazoa; Arthropoda; Insecta; Coleoptera; Chrysomelidae.
GAUAAAUCUUAUUCUAUCUGUUCUUAAUGAGUUUUAGAUAAUUUUAGUUGUAUUUCUUUGUAAUUUUGUGUUGUACAAAGAUUAAUUUAACAUUUUCUCUGGAAGUAUUAAUUUAGAAAGAUAAUAUGCUUCAUUGGUGUUGUGUUUUGAAGUGUGAAAUGUGAUAAGUCAAGAUAAAGUUCACUUUUAAACUGAACUAAAUAAGGUAUCUGAGAGACAACAAUGGUUAAAUGCAAUACAAUGUACAGGUUUUACUAGCGAAAUGAAAAUUUUCCUGUCCUGUCUGCUGUAAUCAUUUUAUAUCUGGUAAGUUACAAUUACAACAGUAACGAUUUUUGAAGAUGUUAACAUUUUAAUCUUAUAGGAAAACCAGCCGACUUAAUAGAUAAUAACAAUCUCCAGAUUGGGUUCCUUCAAUAAAUAUGGUCUAUAAACACAAUGAAAUAAGUUCCCCAAAAUCUAAAAUGGAGUGGUAUCAAAGGAGAAUUAAAGGGAAAAAUAUUCAUAUUGAAAUUAUUUAUAAGGCACUGGACUGUCUUAAAUUCUACAAUAAUACUAGAAUCAGCUGAGAGAAGUGGUCUACAAAAAAACCAGGAAGGAAACGGAAUAUGUGGCUACGAAAGGCAAAAGAAAGGUUUACAAAGCAAAUGUGACACAUUUUUUUGAAAUAUUUAGGAAUAUCAGUAAAUUGCAUUAAAAAAAUGUAUGAAAAGAUUUUGUUCAAUAAAAAUGUUUAUAUUUA